AUUGAACGCUGGCGGCAGGCCUAACACAUGCAAGUCGAACGGUAACAGGAAGCAGCUUGCUGCUUUGCUGACGAGUGGCGGACGGGUGAGUAAUGUCUGGGAAACUGCCUGAUGGAGGGGGAUAACUACUGGAAACGGUAGCUAAUACCGCAUAACGUCGCAAGACCAUGAGGGGGACCUUAGGGCCUCUUGCCAUCGGAUGUGCCCAGAUGGGAUUAGCUAGUAGGUGGGGUAACGGCUCACCUAGGCGACGAUCCCUAGCUGGUCUGAGAGGAUGACCAGCCACACUGGAACUGAGACACGGUCCAGACUCCUACGGGAGGCAGCAGUGGGGAAUAUUGCACAAUGGGCGCAAGCCUGAUGCAGCCAUGCCGCGUGUAUGAAGAAGGCCUUCGGGUUGUAAAGUACUUUCAGCGGGGAGGAAGGGAGUAAAGUUAAUACCUUUGCUCAUUGACGUUACCCGCAGAAGAAGCACCGGCUAACUCCGUG
Molecule: ribosomal RNA, 489 nt
Filed under: uncultured bacterium
Lineage: Bacteria
Description: partial 16S ribosomal RNA
Rfam family: Bacterial small subunit ribosomal RNA
Source: RNAcentral